Molecule: long non-coding RNA, 757 nt
Organism: Heteronotia binoei (common prickly gecko)
Lineage: Eukaryota; Metazoa; Chordata; Lepidosauria; Squamata; Gekkonidae
Exons: 2
Source: RefSeq, a predicted model, not a curated record
ACUUAAGUUCAACUCCAUCUUCCUCCAGCCAGCUGGCUCCAAUCAUUUUGAGGAGAAUGCUAUUUAUUACAUGUAUGUCAAAACCUUCAGCUCCUACCCAUUCUCCCUCACGAACAGGCCCAUCAGUAGCCCAGGUGGGCUUUGAAUUACUCCAGAAAAUAGGACAGAGUUUGGCUGCCUGAAGAACUUGAUACCAGUAGCCACAGCAGGAUUCCACUGAGGCAAUAGCAGAAUUGCUCCUAAAUGUGUGGAUGUGCCUCUACCCACACUCAGUCAACUUACAGAGAGAGAGGAAUUGGCACAAGUGUGCUGGCGCUUUCCCCCUACCUCUGUAUGGUCUGCAGCUUGUGAACAUGGCACCUACAUGAAGAGGUGCAAGUGCUCCCUCUCUUGACUCCAUCCAGGGAAGAUGCUUUCUGAAUGUUCUUUGUCACAGGAAUGGCUCCUACAGUGUGCCCUUCUUUCCUGUGCUGAUGCAUGGACUCUGGAGUUGGUGCGCAUAUGGAGAAGUGAGGCUGGCAUAUUGCAUGGAAGCCUAUUGAGUCAGACCAUUGAACUCCAUGUUGUCUAAUCUACCUAGCCAAAGGGUCUCCAAUGGGAGGCAGAGAAAGACCUUCCCCUACUUUUGCUUCCUGUGGUCUUUUAGCCAAAAAAGCUGGGGGCUGAACCUGGGACUGUCCAUCUGAAAAACUUUGUGCUAACCCUGAGUCACAGCCCUUGUUCAUUUGAUUAAACACAGACCAAUAUAUUGUGUACA